UGCGAUGUACGCUGAGCCUCAGUU
This 24-nucleotide non-coding RNA is filed under the name Mus musculus (house mouse). Lineage: Eukaryota; Metazoa; Chordata; Mammalia; Rodentia; Muridae. The record is from RNAcentral.